CGUAGGUGGCAAGCGUUGUCCGGAAUUAUUGGGCGUAAAGCGCGCGCAGGCGGUCCUUUAAGUCUGAUGUGAAAGCCCACGGCUCAACCGUGGAGGGUCAUUGGAAACUGGGGACUUGAGUACAGAAGAGGAAAGCGGAAUUCCACGUGUAGCGGUGAAAUGCGUAGAGAUGUGGAGGAACACCAGUGGCGAAGGCGGCUUUCUGGUCUGUAACUGACGCUGAGGCGCGAAAGCGUGGGGAGCAAACAGGAUU
Molecule: ribosomal RNA, 253 nt
Filed under: uncultured bacterium
Lineage: Bacteria
Description: partial 16S ribosomal RNA
Rfam family: Bacterial small subunit ribosomal RNA
Source: RNAcentral